AGAAGUGACAAAGAACUUGCUGGUACUGCUUUUGAUCAAGAGAUCCUUGAGCACAAAUUAAUUCCAGUGGCAGGUUGUGAUGAAUUAGAUGCAGUUUCCCUCAAUGACAGUUCAAAUAAUCAACCAGAAGAGGAUUCAUUUAUGUUUGAAGGGAUAAAUGAAGGAGCUUCUCAAGUACAAAGUUGGCAGUUAAUGGAUGAUGGCUUCAGUAACUGUGUCCAUAAUUCCUUGAAUUCUAGUGACUAUAUAUCUCAAUCCACUGUAGAUCCUGUAAAGAAUGCUCCAGUUCCUAACAACGAAACAGUCAACAACCAUUGCCUGCAAGAUGUUCAAGACUGCAAUCACACUAAACUGACGGCACUGGACCUUCGAAGAGAUGAUUUUCAUUAUCAUAGCGUUCUCUCAUCUAUCUUAAAGACCUCCCAUCCAUUAA
This 433-nucleotide unclassified non-coding RNA is filed under the name Hevea brasiliensis (rubber tree). The record is from RNAcentral. Lineage: Eukaryota; Viridiplantae; Streptophyta; Magnoliopsida; Malpighiales; Euphorbiaceae.